UGGGGAAUUUUGGACAAUGGGCGAAAGCCUGAUCCAGCAAUGCCGCGUGUGUGAAGAAGGCCUUCGGGUUGUAAAGCACUUUUGUCCGGAAAGAAAUCCUUGGCUCUAAUACAGUCGGGGGAUGACGGUACCGGAAGAAUAAGCACCGGCUAACUACGUGCCAGCAGCCGCGGUAAUACGUAGGGUGCAAGCGUUAAUCGGAAUUACUGGGCGUAAAGCGUGCGCAGGCGGUUUGCUAAGACCGAUGUGAAAUCCCGGGCUCAACCUGGGAACUGCAUUGGUGACUGGCAGGCUAGAGUAUGGCAGAGGGGGUAGAAUUCCACGUGUAGCAGUGAAAUGCGUAGAGAUGUGGAGGAAUACCGAUGGCGAAGGCAGCCCCCUGGGCCAAGUACUGACGCUCAUGCACGAAAGCGUGGGGAGCAAACAGGAUUAGAUACCCUGGUAGUCCACGCCCUAAA
This 458-nucleotide ribosomal RNA is filed under the name uncultured bacterium. RNAcentral's name for it is "partial 16S ribosomal RNA". It matches the Rfam family "Bacterial small subunit ribosomal RNA", at positions 355 to 806 of the family's 1533-position model. The record is from RNAcentral.